This is a long non-coding RNA of Macaca nemestrina (pig-tailed macaque), 434 nucleotides long. The record is from Ensembl. Lineage: Eukaryota; Metazoa; Chordata; Mammalia; Primates; Cercopithecidae.
AUUGGCCUUCGUUUCUCCAUACACUUUGUUCCAGUUUUGAUUUUAAAAAACUAUAAUAAUCAUUGUUUUAGCAGAGACUUAAAUUUCUAUGGCUUUCCUUUUUCUCCAGAGCUUAGGGGAGUGGUGGCAUCAUUGCCUCUUUUCUGUUUAAAGGUUCAAGCUUGACCAAGCCAUGGCCUGUGGCAUGCAUGCAGCCCAGAAUGGCUUUGAAUGUGGCCCAACAAAAACUAGUGAAUUUUCUGAAAAUGUUACAAGAUUUAUGCAUGAACCUUUUUUUUUUUUUCUCAUCAGCUAUCGUGAGUGUUAGUGUAUUUUAUGUGUGGCACAAGACAAUUCUUCUUCCAGUGUGGCCCAGGGAAGCAAAAAGACUGGACACCCUUCAAAUGAAACCUUCAGUAGCUAUAAUGAGGCAUUUCCUAACACAGAGGACAGAG